RNAcentral lists this long non-coding RNA (625 nucleotides) under Mustela putorius furo (domestic ferret). RNAcentral's name for it is "lncRNA (ENSMPUG00000028343.1)". The record is from RNAcentral. Lineage: Eukaryota; Metazoa; Chordata; Mammalia; Carnivora; Mustelidae.
AGCAAACACGCUGCCCUCCAGCCUCCGGCUCUUUAAAGGGACAGGGUUGCUGCAAGGUGUGAACGCAAACCCAGGUCCAAGGGCGUUGGUGGAAUGAGCCGGGCCGGGAGAACUGGGCUCCGGGACCAGCGAGCGGGCACCUUGCAGGUGUGUGGGCGGGGUGCUUCCUGCAUCCGCUGACUCCGGCUCUGGCUGGUGGGUGCGUAGCAACCUUGGAAGAUUUUCUCCACCCGAAUAUACCACUGAGCCUCGCUUCCUCCUCGCACUCCGUUUCCGCCUCCCCCUUCCAGAUAUUUGUGUGAUGAUUUUCCAGCCUCGGGCUCUGCGGAACUCCUUUGUGUGGCAGACGUUUAAAUGUGUUUAUGUACCCAGCAAGUUCAUCUCUUUCUUGGAUGUUCUCUCGGGUAGAUGAAGAGCUCACGUUUCUUCUCUGUCUGAAUGAAGAACUGAGCAGGGAUAAGCCCCGCUCAAGUUCAUGCUAAGAUCUCUGCGCCUUUGGCCUCCAUUCCGUGCCAGAGGCUGGCCGGCUCGGGACCCGUGUGGACAGACUGGACACGAAGGCUGAGUUCGCUGCCCACGAAGCAUCCCCAGGAAUGCCGGCCAUCCCGAUAAAGCUAGUAUUUGC